CCUACGGGAGGCAGCAGUGGGGGAUAUUGCACAAUGGGGGAAACCCUGAUGCAGCGACGCCGCGUGGGUGAAGAAGCGCCUCGGCGCGUAAAGCCCUGUCAGCAGGGAAGAAAAUGACGGUACCUGAAGAAGAAGCCCCGGCUAACUACGUGCCAGCAGCCGCGGUAAUACGUAGGGGGCAAGCGUUAUCCGGAUGUACUGGGUGUAAAGGGGGCGCAGACGGCGAUGCAGUCCAGGAGUGAAAGCCCGGGGCCCAACCCCGGGACUGCUCUUGGAACUGCGUGGCUAGAGUGCAGGAGGGGCAGGCGGAAUUCCUGGUGUAGCGGUGAAAUGCGUAGAUAUCAGGAGGAACACCGGUGGCGAAGGCGGCCUGCUGGACUGCAACUGACGUUGAGGCCCGAAAGCGUGGGGAGCAAACAGGAUUAGAUACCCCAGUAGUC
This 440-nucleotide ribosomal RNA is filed under the name uncultured bacterium. RNAcentral describes it as "partial 16S ribosomal RNA". It matches the Rfam family "Bacterial small subunit ribosomal RNA", at positions 338 to 795 of the family's 1533-position model. The record is from RNAcentral.